GGGCCGGUAGCUCAGCUUGGUAGAGCACCUGUAAAACAAGAUGAAAAAAAAUCAUGGUCAUCAAAGUUUGGGGUGAAACUUUUACCAACUAAGGGAGACAUCAGGUGGUCUUGGGUUCAAAUCCCAUCCGGCCCG
Molecule: transfer RNA, 135 nt
Filed under: Nanobdellota archaeon
Lineage: Archaea; Nanobdellati; Nanobdellota
Description: tRNA-OTHER
Rfam family: tRNA
About the family: Transfer RNA (tRNA) molecules are approximately 80 nucleotides in length.
Source: RNAcentral